UACAGAGGGUGCGAGCGUUGUCCGGAAUCACUGGGCGUAAAGGGCGCGUAGGCGGUCUCUUAAGCGUGUGGUGAAAGCCCGGGGCUCAACUCCGGGUCGGCCGUGCGAACUGGGGGACUGGAGCUUGUCAGAGGCAGGCGGAAUUCCGGGUGUAGCGGUGGAAUGCGUAGAGAUCCGGAAGAACACCGGUGGCGAAGGCGGCCUGCUGGGACAGUGCUGACGCUGAGGCGCGACUGCGUGGGGAGCAAACAGG
This 253-nucleotide ribosomal RNA is filed under the name uncultured bacterium. RNAcentral describes it as "partial 16S ribosomal RNA". It matches the Rfam family "Bacterial small subunit ribosomal RNA", at positions 524 to 776 of the family's 1533-position model. The record is from RNAcentral.